RNAcentral lists this ribosomal RNA (508 nucleotides) under uncultured bacterium. RNAcentral's name for it is "partial 16S ribosomal RNA". It matches the Rfam family "Bacterial small subunit ribosomal RNA", at positions 28 to 507 of the family's 1533-position model. The record is from RNAcentral.
GACGAACGCUGGCGGCGUGCCUAAUACAUGCAAGUCGAGCGCUUCUUUCCUCCCGAGUGCUUGCACUCAAUUGGAAAGAGGAGUGGCGGACGGGUGAGUAACACGUGGGUAACCUACCCAUCAGAGGGGGAUAACACUUGGAAACAGGUGCUAAUACCGCAUAACAGUUUAUGCCGCAUGGCAUAAGAGUGCAAGGCGCUUUCGGGCGUCGCUGAUGGAUGGACCCGCGGUGCAUUAGCUAGUUGGUGAGGUAACGGCUCACCAAGGCCACGAUGCAUAGCCGACCUGAGAGGGUGAUCGGCCACACUGGGACUGAGACACGGCCCAGACUCCUACGGGAGGCAGCAGUAGGGAAUCUUCGGCAAUGGACGAAAGUCUGACCGAGCAACGCCGCGUGAGUGAAGAAGGUUUUCGGAUCGUAAAACUCUGUUGUUAGAGAAGAACAAGGACGUUAGUAACUGAACGUCCCCUGACGGUAUCUAACCAGAAAGCCACGGCUAACUACGUG